AUCUUAGCUAAUACCGCAUAACACUUACGAGUCAAAGCAGCAAUGCGCUUGGAGAGGAGUUCGCGGCCGAUUAGUUAGUUGGCGGGGUAAUGGCCCACCAAGACGAUGAUCGGUAUCCGGCCUGAGAGGGCGCACGGACACACUGGAACUGAAACACGGUCCAGACUCCUACGGGAGGCAGCAGUGGGGAAUUUUGCGCAAUGGGGGAAACCCUGACGCAGCAACGCCGCGUGGAGGAUGAAAUAUCUUGGUAUGUAAACUCCUUUCGAUGGGGAAGAUUAUGACGGUACCCAUAGAAGAAGCCCCGGCUAACUUCGUGCCAGCAGCCGCGGUAAUACGAGGGGGGCAAGCGUUGUUCGGAUUUAUUGGGCGUAAAGGGUGCGUAGGCGGUUUGGCAAGUCUGAUGUGAAAUCUAUGGGCUCAACCCAUAGUCUGCAUCAGAAACUGCCG
RNAcentral lists this ribosomal RNA (450 nucleotides) under uncultured Acidobacteriota bacterium. RNAcentral's name for it is "bacterial SSU rRNA". It matches the Rfam family "Bacterial small subunit ribosomal RNA", at positions 156 to 638 of the family's 1533-position model. Lineage: Bacteria; Pseudomonadati; Acidobacteriota. The record is from RNAcentral.